This 532-nucleotide ribosomal RNA is filed under the name uncultured bacterium. Its description in RNAcentral is "bacterial SSU rRNA". It matches the Rfam family "Bacterial small subunit ribosomal RNA", at positions 1 to 532 of the family's 1533-position model. The record is from RNAcentral.
AUUAGAGUUUGAUCCUGGCUCAGAUUGAACGCUGGCGGCAUGCCUUACACAUGCAAGUCGAACGGCAGCACGGAGCUUGCUCUGGUGGCGAGUGGCGAACGGGUGAGUAAUAUAUCGGAACGUACCCUAGAGUGGGGGAUAACGUAGCGAAAGUUACGCUAAUACCGCAUACGAUCUAAGGAUGAAAGUGGGGGAUCGCAAGACCUCAUGCUCGUGGAGCGGCCGAUAUCUGAUUAGCUAGUUGGUAGGGUAAAAGCCUACCAAGGCAUCGAUCAGUAGCUGGUCUGAGAGGACGACCAGCCACACUGGAACUGAGACACGGUCCAGACUCCUACGGGAGGCAGCAGUGGGGAAUUUUGGACAAUGGGCGAAAGCCUGAUCCAGCAAUGCCGCGUGAGUGAAGAAGGCCUUCGGGUUGUAAAGCUCUUUUGUCAGGGAAGAAACGGUGAGAGCUAAUAUCUCUUGCUAAUGACGGUACCUGAAGAAUAAGCACCGGCUAACUACGUGCCAGCAGCCGCGGUAAUACGUAGGG